AGCUUCUGGAGGCUGGGCAGCUAAGAGAGCUUCUGGAGGCUGGGCAGCUAAGAGAGCUUCUGGAGGCUGGGCAGCUAAGAGAGCUUCUGGAGGCUGGGCAGCUAAGAGAGCUUCUGGAGGCUGGGCAGCUAAGAGAGCUACAGGAGGCUGGGCAGCUAAGAGAGCUACAGGAGGCUGGGCAGCUAAGAGAGCUACAGGAGGCUGGGCAGCUAAGAGAGCUACAGGAGGCUGGGCAGCUGAGUGAGCUACAGGAGGCUGGGCAGCUGAGUGAGCUACAGGAGGCUGGGCAGCUGAGUGAGGUAAGGACAGCACAGCUGGCAGUUCUGAAGUCCCACCAUGCGGCUGUGGGGUAACGCGCCGGCGGUGCGACCGUCGAUUCUUCCCCACAGACCGGCCGGGCAAAACCUCCAGCGGGGGAGGCUGAUGCGGCUGCUCCGGGGUGGCUAUUGUCAGUUGUUGGUGGGCAAGGUCCGUUAUUUCCCGAGCUUGUGCCACUUCCCGGGCUUUAUGCAAACUGGCCAAUAAAUCCAAACAUCCUCUGACCUGGCGGAGAUAGGAAUUUCCUUCGAGGAUUGUUUCAAUAGCAUUUAUCCCCACAAUCUUUGCCCUUGUAUUAGAUGUGUGGGUUAUCCAUUCGACUAGGCGUUGGACUCGUAUCAGGUCGCUCUCCCCGGGUAAGUCUGCUGGGUCCAUGUUGUGGUCGCGUCGUUCUGUCAUGAAACGCUGUGUGGCAGGCAGGAGUAGGACCCAAGGUGCAGACACUCAGACUCGAAGGAUGAACUCAAAACUCAGCUUUAUUGCUGGCAG
Long non-coding RNA from Oreochromis aureus, 807 nucleotides. The record is from Ensembl. NCBI's taxonomy places the organism in Eukaryota, Metazoa, Chordata, Actinopteri, Cichliformes, Cichlidae.